UCAGACGAUGGUCAUAGCAUAUCAAUAAGCGGAGGAAAAGGAAACUAACAAGGAUUCCCUUAGUAACGGCGAGUGAAGCGGGAAGAGCUCAAAUUUGAAAUCUUCAAGGUUUUACCUUGACGAAUUGUAGUUUAAAGAAGUGUUUUCUGUUGAAGUUUUGGUAAAAGUUCUUUGGAAUAGGACAUCAUAGAGGGUGAGAAUCCCGUAUUUGACCAUUAUUUUCAGCUGUGUGAUACACUUUCAAAGAGUCGGAUUGUUUGGGAAUGCAGUCCAAAAUGGGUGGUAAAUUUCAUCUAAAGCUAAAUAUUGGCGAGAGACCGAUAGCGAACAAGUACCGUGAGGGAAAGAUGAAAAGAACUUUGAAAAGAGAGUUAAACAGUACGUGAAAUUGUCAAAAGGGAAGCGUUUGACACCAGUGUUGUUUUCUCGAAAAUCAAUUAAAAAUGGCUCGAUUUUGUAUUGCUGAGACCUUAAAAGCUCACUGUACAUUUUUCGUGUCUUUUUUAAUGCACUUUUCGUUUAACAAGUCAACAUCAGUUUCUUUUGUUGUAAAAAGGUCAUUGGAAGGUGGCUUUCUUUUCGGAGAAAGUGUUUAUAGCCUUUGACUCCUGCAAUCGGAGAGACUGAGGUCUGCAGCGUAGAUCCUUCGGGGUUAGAUACAUUUGUGCUAAGUUAUAGCUUUUUAUAGACAACUUGUUGACUAUGAUUAGUCUUGUAGCUUAGCUCGCUUAUGCUAUUUUACCUACGCUUAGGAUGUUGAGUCGUAGAGCACGCAG
RNAcentral lists this ribosomal RNA (776 nucleotides) under uncultured Neocallimastigales. RNAcentral describes it as "partial large subunit ribosomal RNA". It matches the Rfam family "Eukaryotic large subunit ribosomal RNA", at positions 21 to 634 of the family's 3401-position model. Lineage: Eukaryota; Fungi; Neocallimastigomycota; Neocallimastigomycetes; Neocallimastigales. The record is from RNAcentral.